UUCACAUGAAAACCAUCAAAUUCAUAGCAGAUAUUAAAAGUGCAAAUAUCUUACUAGAUGGAGACUUUACAGCCAAAAUAUCUGACUUUGGGCUUGCACGGGCUUCUGAGAAGUUUUCCCAGACAGUCAUGACUAGCAGAAUUGUGGGAACAACAGCUUAUAUGGCACCUGAGGCUUUGCGAGGAGAAAUAACACCCAAAUCUGACAUUUACAGCUUUGGUGUGGUUUUACUAGAAAUAA
Long non-coding RNA from Myotis lucifugus (little brown bat), 240 nucleotides. RefSeq lists it as uncharacterized. NCBI's taxonomy places the organism in Eukaryota, Metazoa, Chordata, Mammalia, Chiroptera, Vespertilionidae. The record is from RefSeq and is a predicted model, not a curated record. The transcript is spliced from 3 exons.